Molecule: ribosomal RNA, 253 nt
Filed under: uncultured bacterium
Lineage: Bacteria
Description: partial 16S ribosomal RNA
Rfam family: Bacterial small subunit ribosomal RNA
Source: RNAcentral
UACAGAGGUGGCAAGCGUUGUUCGGAAUUACUGGGCGUAAAGGGCGCGUAGGCGGCUUUGCAAGUCGGAUGUGAAAUCCCCAGGCUUAACCUGGGAACUGCAUUCGAGACUGCAUUGCUAGAGUAUGGGAGAGGGAAGUGGAAUUUCCGGUGUAGCGGUGAAAUGCGUAGAUAUCGGAAGGAACAUCAGUGGCGAAAGCGACUUCCUGGACCAAUACUGACGCUCAUGUGCGAAAGCGUGGGGAGCAAACAGG